CUGAUAUAUCGAAUAAAAGGCAGAAGAACAGAACAAGGCAAGGAAUUUCUUGACCAGUUGACCACCACCGUAGGAACAUGUUAUUCUAAUGCAAGACAACUCCAAGUGAUAUGAAAUUCGUGUUCCUGGAGAAAAGCCAACUGGUUUUGUAUGAUUCGACUGCUGGGAAAGCAAACCAGUUUUCGGACUUUGCCCUUGCCAGCUGGACUCGCGAAAUUGCUGAGUAAAAUAUCAUAGCUAACGCUAAAAUAACAAAAAUAAAACUGAAACCGGCUCCGAGAGGUUGCACAUAUUUCCCAAAGCUAUUGCCCCUUUUUCUAUGUUUUUCAACCCUUUCUCUUUAUAUUUAAAGCGAAACUGGACACCAGCUUGACCCGUUCCUGUGCUCGGUCGACAUCUGCCUGUACCGAAAUCACAUUUAAUGUAACAAAUCAGGUAGUAUAUAAGACGGAACCAGCCGAAUCGGACCACUAUAUCUUAUAGCUCCCAUAGGAACCAUCAGGGAAAAAUUAAAAAAAAAAUUUUUUUUAACAUAUACCUUUCUAAGG
Molecule: long non-coding RNA, 548 nt
Organism: Drosophila biarmipes
Lineage: Eukaryota; Metazoa; Arthropoda; Insecta; Diptera; Drosophilidae
Exons: 3
Source: RefSeq, a predicted model, not a curated record